CAGGACUAUAAACACUAGCAGAGCACUGAAGCAUGGGCUGAUAAUGCAAAGUGGAACCUCUCUAUGGAAAUAUCUAGAACCCCUCCUGAACCUAAAACACAACAAAGAAAACACUCUAAAUAUUACAGAACAAUAUUACACUCACACCAUUUUAUACACCCAGAUUCUGACUGGAUACAUCUGAUACACAUCCAGAGGACUGAGUGUGUGAGUGUGUGAGUGUGUGUGUGUGUGUGUGUGUGUGUGUGUGUGUGGUUCAUCACUGGAGUGUAACAGAGGUUUUUGUACGACGGCUUCAUUGGAAUGUAUCACUGUGGUACACUUUCGGUGGAGGAACUAAACUCACUAUAACCGGUCCCACGGUGAAGCCCUCCGUGUCUCUGCUCCGCCCCUCCUCUCUGCAGCUGUCUGAGGGCUCCGCCUCUCUGCUCUGCCUGCUGUCUGGCUACUCUCCACAGGGGGCGCUGGUCAGCUGGACGGUGGACGGCUCAGAGGUGAAGGACGGGGUUCUGACCAGUGCAGAAGAAGAGAAGAACGGCCACUACAGCCGCAGCAGCACCCUGACCCUCAGCAAAGCACUCUGGGAACAGGGGGAGGAGUUUAUCUGCACCGUCACCCACGACAACGCAAUUCAGCCAAUCAGGUUGAGGAAGAGCGAGUGUGAAGGCUAGCAGCUCCAAGAUAGAAGUGAACAUAGAGCUGCUUCCACCUGCAUCUCCAAUAGAGUGUAAAUUCUACACAGUGCUGAUAUUUGUGUCUUUACUCUGGUCAGUGUGCUGUAGCUGUCCCCAUACUUUUGCUGUGCUGAAAUAAAGCUGGAUUUUGGA
Astyanax mexicanus (Mexican tetra) is the source of this 827-nucleotide long non-coding RNA. RefSeq lists it as uncharacterized. The transcript has 2 exons. The record is from RefSeq and is a predicted model, not a curated record. NCBI's taxonomy places the organism in Eukaryota, Metazoa, Chordata, Actinopteri, Characiformes, Acestrorhamphidae.